AAGUCGUAACAAGGUAACCGUAGGUGAACCUGCGGUUGGAUCAUUAAAAAAUUUAAACAAAGAGUUUUUUUUCUUUUUUUUUUAAUUAAGAAAAAAACUUCUUUAACAUUUUUGUGCACUGUAAUUUUUAUUAUCUAGUGGGGCAGUAUAUUUAUUAUUUAUAGGCUUUUUAUUAGCUAAAAAGGAUUUAAAAACCCUUUUGGUUAGUUUUUAGCUGGAGGGUAAUUCUUAUGAUUAACCCUUUACCCACUAGAAAAUUAUUUUAACUUUAAUUAUUUUUAUUAUUUGCCUUUAGAUUAAUUUAAAAAAAAAGUAUUUAACUUAAAAAAAAUAACUUUUGACAACGGAUCUCUAGGCUCUC
RNAcentral lists this unclassified non-coding RNA (361 nucleotides) under fungal sp. Its description in RNAcentral is "partial internal transcribed spacer region". The stretch from base 1 to 46 matches the Rfam family "Eukaryotic small subunit ribosomal RNA", at positions 1786 to 1831 of the family's 1831-position model. Lineage: Eukaryota; Fungi. The record is from RNAcentral.